RNAcentral lists this transfer RNA (72 nucleotides) under Ignavibacteria bacterium. Its description in RNAcentral is "tRNA-OTHER". It matches the Rfam family "tRNA". From Rfam's summary of the family: Transfer RNA (tRNA) molecules are approximately 80 nucleotides in length. Their secondary structure includes four short double-helical elements and three loops (D, anti-codon, and T loops). Further hydrogen bonds mediate the characteristic L-shaped molecular structure. tRNAs have two regions of fundamental functional importance: the anti-codon, which is responsible for specific mRNA codon recognition, and the 3' end, to which the tRNAs corresponding amino acid is attached (by aminoacyl-tRNA synthetases). tRNAs cope with the degeneracy of the genetic code in two manners: having more than one tRNA (with a specific anti-codon) for a particular amino acid; and 'wobble' base-pairing, i.e. permitting non-standard base-pairing at the 3rd anti-codon position. The record is from RNAcentral. Lineage: Bacteria; Pseudomonadati; Ignavibacteriota; Ignavibacteria.
GGUUAGCUCUGCGGUUCAAGAGCGUCCCGCUUGCGGGACAAGAUGUCGGGGGUUCGAAUCCCUCACUACCCA